CAAUCCCUGAGUAAAGUGGCGACCGGGUGAGUAACACGUGACUAACCUACCUUCGAGUGGGGGAUAACUCCGGGAAACCGGGGCUAAUACCGCAUAACAUCUUCGGAUCGGAAGAACUGAUGAUCAAAGGAGCAAUUCGCUUGAAGAGGGAGUCGCGGCUGAUUAGCUUGUUGGCGGGGUAAUGGCCCACCAAGGCGAUGAUCGGUAUCCGGCCUGAGAGGGCGCACGGACACACUGGAACUGAAACACGGUCCAGACUCCUACGGGAGGCAGCAGUGGGGAAUUUUGCGCAAUGGGGGAAACCCUGACGCAGCAACGCCGCGUGGAGGAUGAAGUCCCUUGGGACGUAAACUCCUUUCGACCGGGACGAUUAUGACGGUACCGGUGGAAGAAGCCCCGGCUAACUUCGUGCCAGCAGCCGCGGUAAUACGAGGGGGGCAA
RNAcentral lists this ribosomal RNA (441 nucleotides) under uncultured bacterium. Its description in RNAcentral is "bacterial SSU rRNA". It matches the Rfam family "Bacterial small subunit ribosomal RNA", at positions 80 to 537 of the family's 1533-position model. The record is from RNAcentral.